Molecule: ribosomal RNA, 460 nt
Filed under: uncultured bacterium
Lineage: Bacteria
Description: partial 16S ribosomal RNA
Rfam family: Bacterial small subunit ribosomal RNA
Source: RNAcentral
CCUACGGGUGGCAGCAGUGAGGAAUAUUGGUCAAUGGACGAGAGUCUGAACCAGCCAAGUAGCGUGAAGGAUGACUGCCCUAUGGGUUGUAAACUUCUUUUAUAAAGGAAUAAAACGAGGCACGUGUGCCUUUUUGCAUGUACUUUAUGACUAAGGAUCGGCUAACUCCGUGCCAGCAGCCGCGGUAAUACGGAGGAUCCGAGCGUUAUCCGGAUUUAUUGGGUUUAAAGGGAGCGUAGAUGGGUUGUUAAGUCAGUUGUGAAAGUUUGCGGCUCAACCGUAAAAUUGCAAUUGAUACUGGCAGUCGUGAGUACAGUUGAGGUAGGCGGAAUUCGUGGUGUAGCGGUGAAAUGCUUAGAUAUCACGAAGAACCCCGAUUGCGAAGGCAGCUUACUAAACUGUGACUGACAUUGAUGCUCGAAAGUGUGGGUAUCAAACAGGAUUAGAUACCCCUGUAGUC